UUAUCUCUAAGAGAGGAGACAUUUCCUGGC
RNAcentral lists this small RNA (30 nucleotides) under Bombyx mori (domestic silkworm). RNAcentral's name for it is "piRNA piR-bmo-1950687". The record is from RNAcentral. Lineage: Eukaryota; Metazoa; Arthropoda; Insecta; Lepidoptera; Bombycidae.